Phalacrocorax carbo (great cormorant) is the source of this 1143-nucleotide non-coding RNA. Lineage: Eukaryota; Metazoa; Chordata; Aves; Suliformes; Phalacrocoracidae. The record is from RefSeq and is a predicted model, not a curated record.
ACUAGGUACAACACCUCAGGAGAGAGAUUUUCCUAGCCAAAACAACACCAAAAAGCCAGAAUGUCCCUGAUGCCCAGUCCCUUACCACUACUAUAGUUAUACUUGCGAAUGGAUGAGUCUUUCAAGUUUAUCUGUUGCCCUUUAAACACAGUUACAGACCUGAUAAAGGAAUAGAAUUGAGGCCUAUUUUAUCAGUCCUACUUGGGAAACCAUUCCUACCAUGACCUGGUUGAAAAUAUCACUGCUAUCCCCCCACUCACAGCCUGGAAAUCAGGGACACUACAGAAAUAGGCAGUAUCUGAAUUGCCUGUUCUUCCAACACACAGGUGACCUUGAUGAUUUCUCCAAGCCAUAAGAUCUCUGACACUGGAAAAUAAAGAUGGAAACUGAAGACUGGAGAUAAUUUUAAGUAAAAAGGAUUAAAGAGAAAUAUCAGAUAAUGAGAUAUCCUCAUCUUCAUGUAUUCCCUGGUCAGCUGAACAACUGAAUCUAUGUAUUUGUGAUAUAAUACUGUAUAUUUGUGAAAAUAUAAUAUAAGACAGAUUUGUAUAGACUUACAUAUUCUCUACAGUCCAUUAGAGUAUUGAAACAUGUUUAUUUUAAAAGAUAAAAUCUGUUCUUAGAAACUGGAAAAGAGACUUUAGAUAAUGCUGUGUUAUAGUACAAUGAUUACUUGUUCCAGUAUUUUUCUUGGAACUGACUGACGAUUCAAAUCUCUGUGCAUUCAUUAUCAGCUUUCUAGUACUUUAAAAAUUCAUUGCAAGAUUUGAUAGAAAGCAACUGAGAGAAAAGUAAGAGAGGCAGAAAAAUGAAGGGAGAGAGGAGAUGAGAGAAAAGGAGAGGAGACACAAUGAACUGCCAUCUAAGUAUCUUUUACAAUGAGUAACAGGAAUUCAAUCAGGUAACAACCUGCAUGUCAUUCCCACUCUAAGUGUGGCCAAAACCAAGCUAAUAAAAAAAGUCAGAUUUCUAUAGAAUUUAAUAUAUAUUUUGGCUGUCAGUGAAAGAAAAGAGUUGGGGGAGGGAGCUAUUACUCUAAGUGGAAUGUAAUGAAUCAUCACCAAGGUUGAAAUAAACUCACUUGUUUCAACUUAAUGGAAAGUGAUUUUGUUGGUUACUUCAUAAUAUACUAUUCUGAUUCUU